AAGGGCACCACAAGAACGCGUGGAGCAUGUGGCUUAAUUUGACUCAACGCGGGAAAUCUUACCAGGUCCGGACAUAUUGAGGAUUGACAGGCGAUAGUAAUAUUAUUAUAUAAUAUUGCAUAAAAAUGAUAGUCCUUUCAUGAUUAUAUGAUAGGUGGUGCAUGGCCGUUCUUAGUUCGUGGAGUGAUUUGUCUGCUUAAUUGCGUUUCAGAUAUAUAAUUAUAUAAUAUAUUAUAUAGUAAUAUAUAAUUUAAUAUUGUGCUGCCUUAUAUAUUAUUUAUAAGGAUUUUAAGUGAACAUAUUUUAUUAUACAUAUAUUAUUAUAUAUAUUUAUUAUAUAUUAAAAUGAAUGCAACGAACGUGACCGUAACCUUUUAUUGCUAUAAAUAAUAUAUAUUAUUUAUAUUAUAAUAUAGCAUAAAAUUAAAGGGACCGCUGUCUAAAUUUUAGUGUUAAAAUAGAGUAAGAUUACGGCAAUAACAGGUCUGUGAUGCCCUCAGAUGUUCUGGGCUGCACACGUGCUACAAUAAUUACAUUAAUAAGUAUCUAUUAUAAUACAUAAUAUGUUUACAUAUUAUAAUAAACCUAUUUCGAAAGUAAAUGGGUAAUCAUUUAAAAAUCGUGAUUAUUCAUACAUAUAUGGUAUAUUAAUAUUGUAUAAUACUAUACAUUUUAUAGUACUAUUACAAAUACCAUUAAUUAAUUUAAGGUGGGGAUAGUGUAUUGUUAAUUAUUACACUUGGCCUUAACUAGGAAUGCCUUGUACUCUUCUUUGGUUUAACAUACCAAGAGGAAUACGUCCCUGCCCUUUGUACACACCGCCCGUCGCUCUUACCGAUGAAUUAUAUUAUAAAUCUAAGGGACAUACAUAUCCUGAAAUUGAAUAUAUUGAAACUUAUAUACAUAAUGUGAUUUAAAGGAAAGAGAAGUCGUAACAAGGCAUCGUAGGUGAACCU
RNAcentral lists this ribosomal RNA (956 nucleotides) under Peneroplis pertusus. RNAcentral's name for it is "bacterial SSU rRNA". It matches the Rfam family "Eukaryotic small subunit ribosomal RNA", at positions 1160 to 1816 of the family's 1831-position model. Lineage: Eukaryota; Foraminifera; Miliolida; Peneroplidae. The record is from RNAcentral.